AUACAUAACAUUCCGGACAUUCCGGACAGCUCGGGCAGUCGGGGACAGGAUCACUGUGUCACAACUGUCAUCACUGUCACCUAGGAGGUCAGGACACCUGAGCUCCGGCUACAACCCAGAUGGCUGCUCACCACCCCUGCAGCCUCUCACAUCCUUCAGGCACUUAAGGUUGCAGGGGAUGCAGUGAAGCAAGGACAAAAGGACUGGAGUGCGCCCUGUGUUUAUCACAACACUAUUCACAAUAGCCAAGAUAUGGAAGCAACCUAAGUGUCCACCAGUAGAUGAAUGG
Manis javanica (Malayan pangolin) is the source of this 289-nucleotide long non-coding RNA. RefSeq lists it as uncharacterized. The record is from RefSeq and is a predicted model, not a curated record. NCBI's taxonomy places the organism in Eukaryota, Metazoa, Chordata, Mammalia, Pholidota, Manidae.